UACGUAGGGGGCUAGCGUUGUCCGGAUUUAUUGGGCGUAAAGAGCGUGUAGGCGGCCAGAUAGGUCUGCUGUGAAAACUCGAGGCUCAACCUCGAGAUGUCGGCGGAAACCAUUUGGCUAGAGUCCGGAAGAGGAGAGUGGAAUUCCUGGUGUAGCGGUGAAAUGCGCAGAUAUCAGGAAGAACACCUAUGGCGAAGGCAGCUCUCUGGGACGGUACUGACGCUGAGACGCGAAAGCGUGGGGAGCGAACAGG
RNAcentral lists this ribosomal RNA (253 nucleotides) under uncultured bacterium. RNAcentral's name for it is "partial 16S ribosomal RNA". It matches the Rfam family "Bacterial small subunit ribosomal RNA", at positions 524 to 776 of the family's 1533-position model. The record is from RNAcentral.